Molecule: ribosomal RNA, 507 nt
Filed under: uncultured fungus
Lineage: Eukaryota; Fungi
Description: SSU rRNA
Rfam family: Eukaryotic small subunit ribosomal RNA
Source: RNAcentral
CGAUACGGGGAGGUAGUGACAAUAAAUAACAAUAUAGGGCUCUUUCGGGUCUUAUAAUUGGAAUGAGUACAAUUUAAAUCCCUUAACGAGGAACAAUUGGAGGGCAAGUCUGGUGCCAGCAGCCGCGGUAAUUCCAGCUCCAAUAGCGUAUAUUAAAGUUGUUGCAGUUAAAAAGCUCGUAGUUGAACUUCAGACCUGGCCGGGCGGUCUGCCUAACGGUAUGUUUACUGUCUGGCUGGGUCUUACCCUCUUGGUGAGCCGGUAUGCCCUUUACUGGGUGUAUCGGGGAACCAGGAUCUUUACCUUGAGAAAAUUAGAGUGUUCAAAGCAGGCCUAUGCCCGAAUACAUUAGCAUGGAAUAAUAAAAUAGGACGUGCGGUUCUAUUUUGUUGGUUUCUAGAGUCGCCGUAAUGAUUAAUAGGGAUAGUUGGGGGCAUUAGUAUUCAGUCGCUAGAGGUGAAAUUCUUGGAUUGACUGAAGACUAACUACUGCGAAAGCAUUUGCCAA